Molecule: unclassified non-coding RNA, 6818 nt
Filed under: Rhagoletis pomonella (apple maggot)
Lineage: Eukaryota; Metazoa; Arthropoda; Insecta; Diptera; Tephritidae
Description: serine/threonine-protein kinase 10, transcript variant X3
Source: RNAcentral
UGGAUUAAUAUCGGUCGGGUUAUAUUUGGAUAGAUUUGUGGAUUUAUUCCCAAAAAUCAACGGUUUGCCCAAUAAUAGCUUUAUCGAUUGUUUAUAUUUUGAUUUGAUUUGCUCGAAUGUAGUGUAUUUAACUAAAGUAGAUUGUAAGAGAUUCUUACGUGCUCUGCAGAUUGCUUACGCUUCAGGCAAGGCCCUAUAACGCCAUAGUUUCGUGUGAAAAGACUAUCAAAUUUAUCUUCUAGACUCACUUCUAAGCGUACGUUUACAAAAGCAUGAAGACCUAAUUUUAAAGCCGAUAAUUAAAUUAGAGAAGAGAGGAAAAUCGUAAAGAACAUUGAACGGCGAAAAAGCAAUACGGUGGUAGGGGAACACGUGCGUCACCACUAAUACUGCUACGGCUACUGCUGCAGUUGCGGGAGAAGGGCGACCCCUUUGCUUGUUGAAAUUGAGCAUAAACUUGUGGAAAUGUUUUUGGAUUGAUUUGAGAAGAGAGAAAAGAAAUUCAACUGAGGAAUUAGCUACUGAAAAGCAAUUAAGCUGAUACACGAAGGCGAAUGAAACUAUUAUUUGUGCUUAAAGCAAAAUGUAGUGCCUUUGGAUUGUAAAACUGCUGUGGAUAAGUUUUUUUUUUAACCUUGAAGUAACUUAACCUUACAACGGAAAUAAAUAGCUAACUUAAAAAUCAGUUUAUAAGAAUAACAAUGUCGUUUAUAAAUAAUUUGAAAAAGGUGUUCCACCUUGGCGGUGGUGAGGCGAAGAAAAAACGACUUUACAAUAAUAUCAAGAUGGACACAGACCCUGCGGAAUUUUGGGAAAUGGUGGGUGAGCUGGGUGAUGGCGCUUUUGGCAAAGUAUAUAAAGCGCAACAUAAGGAACAUAGACGCUUCGCAGCGGCUAAACUAUGCACAUUGGAAGAUGAAGAAAAUCUUAGUGAUCACAUGGUAGAAAUUGAUAUUUUAUCAGAGAUAAAACAUCCAAACAUUGUAGAAUUGUAUGAAGCGUUUUCAAUUGAGGAUAAAUUAUGGAUGUUAAUUGAGUAUUGCGAUGGCGGCGCGCUCGACAGUAUAAUGGUGGAAUUAGAAAAGCCGCUGACGGAACCACAAAUUGCCUACGUUUGCCGACACAUGACUGAAGGUCUGAGUUUUUUACAUAAAAAUAAAGUAAUACAUCGUGAUUUAAAAGCUGGAAAUGUACUACUAACAAUGGAGGGCGGUGUUAAAUUAGCUGAUUUUGGCGUGUCGGCCAAAAAUAAGCAUACUCUACAGAAACACGACACAUUUAUAGGCACACCGUAUUGGAUGGCGCCUGAACUUGUGCUCUGCGAAACAUUUCGGGAUAAUCCUUACGACUUAAAAGUGGAUAUCUGGUCACUUGGCAUAACUUUGAUAGAGUUAGCGCAAAUGGAACCACCAAAUAGUGAAAUGUCACCGAUGCGUGUUCUACUAAAAAUACAAAAAAGUGAACCACCAACAUUGGAUCAGCCAUCAAAGUGGAGUAAGGAAUUCAAUGAGUUCCUAAAGAGAGCUUUGGUCAAAGAUCCGCAGCAACGUCCAGGCACAGAUAUUUUAUUACAACAUAGAUUCAUUAAUUGUGAAUUAGACGCUAAACCUAUAAAAGACUUAUUAUUAGAAUAUAAAGCUGAAGUGGUUGAAGAAGUUGUCGACGAUGAUGCUGAGGAACCCCGCAACUCGGCGCUCCGGCUCGACCUGGACGAUGACUCUGCAUCUUUGCAGAGCCAAGAUAUUGACAAACUUCCAGGUACCCCAACAUCAGUAUCUAUGGACUCUAAAGAACCAAAUCAAACAAAUAGUAUACCACAAAGUAAACUAUCACAACAAAGAGGAGUCGCAAGCAAUGUCUCUCCUGUUUUGCAAAACAGUCUUGAAAACAAUAUAUCAUCUUCUAAAGGGGCAAAGGAGGAUGAACAAAAAAUUAGCGUUAAUAAAGCGCCAAAUGAAAACGACACGAGUAAACCGCGUUCACCUGAUGAAGCGCUUAGCAAGCAGCAAACAGUUGUUGCUCCAUCUGCUAUUGAAGCUGAUAAUCUUCCUGAGAAAAGCGUUGACGCUGAUAGGAAGAUCCCUAAAAAAGAAAAGGGUAAGGCACCGCCACCUCCGUCUGCUGCUAUAAUUGCGCCAAAAACGUCUGAAGCACCGCCUGCAAUUAUUGCAGCACACACUGAACCGGAGAAACGGGCCAACGACGAACAUAUUCGCACAGCUGCAGUGGUCAAAGCUGCCGAGCUGUGUGAGAAUGUGGAAAUCGAUGUGCAAGCGCCAGCACUGCAACAGUUCGUUAAUGAACCACAAGAGCAGGUGCAGCCACUGCCAUCUCCGCCUUCGCCAACUACAUCAUCAGCAGCGGUUUCGGUGAAUUCCACUUCUUCGUCGUCUGUAAAAAGCGGCGCCAUGCUAAGCUCGAGCACUUCACUAAUCACUAUAAAUAGCGAGACCUCGCCAUCCAGCACGCCAACUCGUUCACUUAACAAUCAGGCACAGCAUCAGAAUGUCGUUCAACCCAACAGUUUGGACGCUGGUAUCAGCCAAAUAAGAGUUGUAACCAGCACGCAUCCACCAGUCAUCAUUGACAAUUCUGUAGUGCCCGCUGUACCGCCUCAAAGCGAAGUGAUAAUUGUUUCAAAUGAUUUAAACAAAAGCACACAUGUGCCAGAAUCUUCGACUGAUGAUGAUUUCACUUCCUUUGACGACAGUCUUGGCGAUUCGCCGAUAUCGCCACGACAGUCAUCCAUGAUAGUGGCCGUGAGUGAGAAGGGCGCCGAAGAAACGGACAAGGGUGAAAUUGCUGCCGACGCCAAUCAGUCUAUAAUCGGUAAAGGAUCACGGGCACGUAAGCUUGACGAAAGCGAGGUGCUAAUCGUUAGCCCAUCUUUCGUAGAUGACGAUUCUGCCUAUAAUACAGCUACGGGCAGUCAUGAUCAUAGCGAACAUCUGAUGGAUACCAGUCAUGUGUCAGUUGUGACUGUAGGCGAUGAGAUAAAAGUUAAGGACAGUAGUCACCUGAGCAGCGAUCUAUACGAUACAACAUUAAGCAACGACAACAAUAUUCUGAAUAGCCAACGACCAUAUGUAAAGAAUCACCAAAAUGGCCAAAUAAUCACCGGCACACCAACAGAAGAUGUAAAUAUUAUUAUAAACCGCAACACACCACAAGACAUCAGUGUCGCUAAUAAACGGCCCUCACCAGAUAAUAGCGUUGGUUCAGUGGACUCACGAACACUGAGUGAAAGCGGUUCACUGCCCUCAACUGGCGGUGUUAUUCGACGAGCUGUGGGCUUGAAUAUCGCAACAGUUGAUCAGAGUGACGUUGAAAGUAUCGGCACCACAACUAGUCAUGAUAGUCGCAACGAGGCGGAUGCCCCCAUAAUGGGCACUAAGAUACCCGAAGAUGAAGAAGUUGUCAUACGUCGUAAGCAAGGACCAUUAUCACCGAAAAUAGUAGCACCACCCGGUCCGACUAAAGAAGAAAUCGAACUACGUAAUUUGCGUAAGAAAACGCGAAAGCGUACGCGAAAAUUCGAGAUCGAUGGUGUACAAGUGACGACAACCACAAGUCGUGUCAUCUACGGUGACGAAGAGACUGGACGGCUCUAUGAUGAUCAUGUGUUCCGCAAACAAGAACUAAGAGAAUUGAAAAUGUUGCAGAAACAGGAAAAGAAGCAGCAAAACGAUUUGCAAUUAAAGGAACAAAUCGCUAGAGAGCAACAGGAUCGACGCUUCGAACAGGAGCGAAUUUCGCUGGAGAAGACUUAUGAAGCCGAUAUGGAUACCUUGGCAAGACAACAGAAGCAACUAAUUGAGAAGACAGAACAAGCGCAGGAGCAUGAACUGCGAACUUCAUCGAAGCGCAUCCGAUCCGAGCAAGAGCAAGAAUUGAAAAUCUUCCGUGAAAAUUUGAAACAAGAAAUUCGUCUGUUGAAACAAGAAGUAGAUUUGCUGCCCAAAGAUAAACGCAAAGACGAAUUCAAACAACGACGUUCCGCCAUGGAACUGGAUCAUGAAGAGAAGGAGCGGGCUUUCCUAGAUUCGCUCAAAGAACGCCAUGAAUUGCUUCUGCGACGAUUAAGCGAAAAACAUCGCGAUCAUCUUGCCACAAUUAAUCGUAAUUUCCUGCAGCAAAAACAAAAUGCCAUGCGUACACGCGAAGCACUACUGUGGGAGCUGGAAGAGAAGCAAUUGCAUGAACGUCAUCAGCUAGCCAAACGGCAUGUAAAAGAAUUAUGUUUUAUGCAACGCCAUCAGAUGAUUGUGCGACACGAAAAGGAAUUGGAUCAGGUGAAGAAAAUGUUGCAACGCAAGGAGGAGGAUAUGAUUAAAAAGCAAGCUUUAGAGAAGCGAGCGUUGCCGAAGCGAAUUCGCGCAGAGCGCAAGGCACGCGAUUUAAUGUUCCGCGAAUCUUUGCGUAUAUCAACAAAUUUGGAUCCGGAAGUCGAAAGGGAACGACUUAAGAAGUUUCAAGAGCAAGAAAAGAAACGUUAUACGCAAGAGGAGCGACGAUUCGAAAUCAAACAUCAAAAACAGUUGGAGGAAUUGCGCGCAACGCGUGAGGGGGCGAUAAGAGAAUUAGAACAGUUGCAGAAUGAGAAACGAAAAGCUCUGGUCGAACACGAACAUGCCAAAUUGACAGAUAUCGACGAGCGUUUAAAGGCAGAGUUGCGUGAAUGGAAGGAGCAAUUAGUACCUAGAAAGCAGACAACCGCUACUACAGUCUUUUGCAAACUUAGUCAUGGAGCGAUACUCAGUUGAACAACGCUUAAAAGUGAUCCAAACAUUAAUGCCGAUUUAACAAAAAGCUUCAUGUGGGAUGGGGCGCACUUAACUGCACCCACUGCAAAAGGAAAAAAACUAUGCACCCACAACGAGUCGCGUUUGGCGUGGUUUUUCUCAUGGCGGAGCCUUCGGACCUGACUUCGGUGCCACUUGCUACACACUGGAGGCAAAGCUGGAGAAAUUAAGAAUUUGACGACGUGUUAUCGGCGCAUGCAUGGAUUGCUCAAGCACAUCAGCUAAACAACUUUGGAUCUACUUAUAUAUUGAAUUAUAAUUUAUGGGUAUUAAACAAGCUGGACAACUUGACAACAUUUUAUUCACUGGUGCGUUUUUAAUUUGGCUAUGAUCGACAUUUUACGCAUUGUUGUGGCAACAGUUCCUUUUAGAUGAAUUCCACACGUUUGAACACCUACAAAAACGCUGAAAAGGUCUUACGUGUUCUGUAACUAGAAUAAGAUAUAUAUACAAUAAAAUAAGGAAAAUUUUCGCUUAACAAGUUUUUCCUGAACAUACUCAUAUUUGUGCAAACAUAUGCUCGCCACCGCACAAGAGCCCAAUCAAUCACAAGCAAGGCAUUAAAACAUUUAUUAAACGAGUUAAAAUGCUUAAAUUACGGUAAUAAUUUCCUUUUCUUAAAGUGUAAAUAUGAAAAAUUGCUGGCAUUCAUUUGCAUAUGGAGCGCAUUGCUCAGACACUUGUCUCCAAGCGAUCACUCAUAAUAAUACCAAAUAGUACACAAAACAAUGUCGGCGGCACGGCAUUCCUACAAUGGGAGGAGUUUGUUGCUAUUGACCAACCAAUAGCACCGUAAAAGUCUGAGCCGAAGUUAUGAUUACUUACUUUUACAUACAUACAUAUGUACAACAAACAAACAUACGUACAUGUUCUACUAUAAAUAAACAAUUCAAAUCAAAAACGGGCGCGCGCGCACGCCAUAGACACUCACUCGCUCAACUAACUGCCGACGUACUCAUACGCGUGUGUGGGUAUGAGUACGUAUUCGUGUAUUGUAAAAGAUAAGGCCUUCAUUGGCAGUAAUAGUUAAUUAAAGUCUGGUUUGAACAUUUUGAAUAUUCGUGAAUGCCUAAAGAGAAACCAAUACCAAAAAAGCAAAGUACAAAAAAUGCACGAAAACAAAAACAAUGCUAUGAAUGAAGUUCGACUUAUCGGCUAGUCAGAGAGCCAGGCAAACAGCUUGAUCAGCGAAUGAAAACUCAGCUGGCCGACUUGAAAGAGUGCAAAAAGUCUACACAUUUGGGCUCUCCAAUCCAAGAGCAAGCAAGCACUCUGAAGCAAUCGUGUAGCAUAGCUGGCUUUCUUGGCGGCGCUCCGGCUGGUUCGUUAGUGCUCCAAACUAGAAUAGUACAUGCGCUGGAGCAGCUCUCCAUUUUGGCGUAACGCAGCAAAGAAAAAUAAAAAAACGGUCGUGCUAUGUGGCGCGAUCGAAAGCGAGUUUAUUCGGUAGCGCGCCUCCAUCUAGAGAACAUCAAGGUGGUCGCAAUAACGACAUAAACGCUUAGAUCAAUUCAUAUUUGUCUGUUACAAGCGAUAGUUCCGCAAUUUACGUAUUUUUUGCCAACGAGUGAGCGUACAAAAUAGGAAACACUCCUUAUCAGUUGUUUGGCGGCGUUUGGUUUUGCAGUUAUAGUAGCAGCAGCAGUUAGCAGUGGCGGCAGCACAGCUUGUGGAAUCAUUAUCAACAUUUUUGGAGGAUAUUAAAAAAAUAAAUAAAAAUAAAUGCAUUUGCACACAAAAUUUCCACUGAACCGGCAUAAUAAAUUGUGGCAUUUUUUUGUUAUAAUUGCAUAAAUUUUCUACGUAUGGCACACGAGCACUUUGCAACACUGAAAAUGCAUUAGACACCACUGACUCUAGUACACCCUGUACUUCCGCUGCAUUGUCAAAAACGAACAGCUGUUUUGGCACCUAAAAGGAAUCGAAGAAAAUAAUAGUCCGGAUUGCCAAAUUUUACACGGUCGUUUGGAAUUUGUGUUAAUUUAAAUAAAAGUUUUUGAAAUUAAAAAUAGGAAU